CUAUUCGGAUAGGAGGUUGAGAA
RNAcentral lists this small nuclear RNA (23 nucleotides) under Arabidopsis thaliana (thale cress). Its description in RNAcentral is "snRNA_13951". Lineage: Eukaryota; Viridiplantae; Streptophyta; Magnoliopsida; Brassicales; Brassicaceae. The record is from RNAcentral.